Molecule: long non-coding RNA, 1810 nt
Filed under: Lathyrus oleraceus (garden pea)
Lineage: Eukaryota; Viridiplantae; Streptophyta; Magnoliopsida; Fabales; Fabaceae
Description: Pisum sativum (pea) long non-coding RNA (PSAT_LNC033553)
Source: RNAcentral
CAAGUUCAUUCAAAUGAGGAAAUGUCAUUCAUUACAUGAUCAUAAAAGGUUCAUUACAUGGAAAAAAUACAAAGAAAGGUGUGUUGACCAAUUGUUGACUUUGGUCAACAGUUGACUUUUUGGUCAACAAUGGACUUUUUGGUCAACAAUUGACUUUUUGGUCAACUUUGACCAAAGUCAACUCAAACCCUUCUCAUCCUAGAAUCCAAAUCCUAAUUUUACUUCUAAGGUUGAUUUUUCAUUCUUGGCCUUUGAGCUUUCCAUGUGUGCACGAUGAUUCAAAUUCAAGUUUGGUCGCUUGGUAGCAUGCUUUGAUCACCCACCAUUACCAUACGCAUUCAUGGCCUACAAGGGAAACCAAAGCCAUUCAAUAGCUUCAUACAGGGCUUGGCAUCCACAGUUAUCAAGCAAUGUGAAAGAUGGAGAUACUUUGCCACUUUGCUGACCAAGUUGUCGCCGUACCUAGCGAAAACAUUGAACCACAAGUCAAAAUCAUAACAGAACCAUGGUCAAGAUACAAGGAAUUAAUGCGUAGAAUUACAACCAAUCAGUAGGGGUAUCACACUUACCAUAUCCAGCUUGUCAUGAAGUAUUGCAGAAUUUUGCAACACUUUGUUGCAAUUCAUUCUAACAAAUUAGACCUUGAAUGAAUAUGCAUUUCUAUCAUAGAAUACCAACCUGCAAAAGGAGACAAAUGUGAUUCCAAUGGCUACACCAACAAAAUCCAUAACAGUUGGCAAUGCAAGUCAAGAAAUGGAACUAACAUACUGUGCAAGACCAGGCUGCAGUCAGUUGCAGAAUGACAAGAAUUGUUACCUGCUGCAAAUCCUGCAAUGCAUCAGCCAAUGUAAUAAGCCUUGUUGCAGACCAAGAGCAAGUCAUGAACCAAGCCAUAUGCAGCAAUAGACAAAGCUCCUUGUUAAAAACAACAAUGUAUCUCGUUGACACAUAAAUCAAGUCAUAAUAUUCCACAAACCUUGCAGUUCAAUGCUGCAGAAUCCAAGCCAGAACAGGGAUCUCACUUACUAUGCAGAAACAGGUGAAUCCAACAGUUAUCACUUUGUUGAACGAGUUAUCAUCAUACCUAGCAAAACAAUGAACCACAUGUAAAAAUCAGAACGGAAUCAUGGUCGUGACUCAAGGAAGCAACAUGACCUGAUGCAAUGCCAGGCCACUUCCAAACCAAACUUACAAAGAGGCACUUGAAUUUCUCUUGUAAGAAAGAUACGAUUGAUGAAAUUAGUGCAAUGAUGUGGGAACUGAGGGACACAUUUUUAUUACUCCCUGGAAACUCUAAUGCCAAUUGGUCUCCAAAGGUUUCGGAAUCAUCAAAAAAGGGUUCGUUUGAAUUCAGAUACAACAUCAGAUGUUGAAUUGACCAAAAUUUCUAGAAAUAUUAAAGUAAAUCAGAAGCGCAAAGACCAAUGGAGAAAGCUACUUCAUAGUCAACAGGAAAAUAAACGUCAGUUGGAAGAAGAUAUUGAGAAAGAAAUGGCUGAUUUUAAAAAAAAAUGCUUGAUAUAGAGUGGCAAGCUACUUUACCAUUUUAUGGGAAGGAAAAAGAGAAGCUCAGAGAAUUCAAAAGUAAAUACAAUAUAAAGGAGGCAAUAUUGAAAAGGGAACAAGAAGCACGUCUCCAGCCUCUUGAGGCCAAACAGUUAGAAGCAAGGCAGAAAUUUAGUGAGUUGUCAGCACCAGAUGAAUUGUCAAACCUAGUUUCUUUGAAGGAACUUGGGACAUCCCAUAAUGCUCCAAAAAUUCUUCUGUCUAAUGAAGUGUCUGAAACUAGUUGCAAACAGGCCACUGCCAG